RNAcentral lists this long non-coding RNA (1068 nucleotides) under Ursus maritimus (polar bear). Its description in RNAcentral is "lncRNA (ENSUMAG00000024340.1)". Lineage: Eukaryota; Metazoa; Chordata; Mammalia; Carnivora; Ursidae. The record is from RNAcentral.
CAACCACCUACGGAAUCCCUCCAGCGGCUGUGCCCCUAGCUCUCGUCAGGACUGGCAGCCACAGUGACCCAUCUCUGUGCCUACGUGGGCAGGGUGCCUGUGCUGGAGCCGCGAGCAGCCACAGAGACUGGAGGCCAGACGGGAAAGAGGCCAAUGGCCCUGGCUAAUUUGGAGAACAUGACCCCACAGAGGUGCUCUCACUCCAUGAGUUCUUUGGGGUUAGGAGGCAGGUCUGUGCCCCCCUUGUUCCCAGCGACGUUUCCAGGCCGUAUCCCCACUGAGGAACCUGGUGCUAUUACAUGGCUUCCUCGCCAUCUCGAGCGCUGCCCCCACCCCCUGCCAGGGUGACUUCAGCAGUCUCCCUCUCCGGCCCGAGCCCCUCAUCUCCAGGGCUUUCUCCCCUGCACUGCUGUGGCCAUGCCCUAGAUACUGCCAUACUCAGAAUGGCCCUACUCCCCAAAACGUGGCCUCCAACACCCCCUUGCAGACCCUCACCUUGUCCCAGCGCAGCUGCUCAAGGUCCCCGGCACUGUGCUGGCUCUACACACCCCCCUGCCCCCCGGGACCUCCGCCCAUUGACCUACCAUCCUUACCGGCCUCGGUAUUGGGCUUUGAGCCCAAGGUCCUGCACUUCACCGCUCUACACAUACCCCCAAUUCCCUCACCUACUUCCCUUUCCGCACUCCCGCCCAGCCUGCGCCAAGCCCAGGACGGAUCCAAUCCUCUGCCCUGUUCAAGGCAGCCCGGGGGCAGGUAGAAAAAUGUCGCCUGCCCAUGCACUCUAUGAGCACAUCCCCAGUGGCCUCACCUGGGCGCCUGCAGCCUGCGGCCUCUGUUCUCUGCCCAGCUCACUCCGCCACUACACACAGAACGCUUUCCACCUCCUCCACGCUCCGCUAACCUCCAGCUCUCAGCUCACAACUGUCUCCCACUUUGCAGAGAAAACUGAAGCCUCCCACCAGCAGCUCCCUCCAUCUCUUGGCACCAAACCCACUGAACAACUGCGACCUCACUGAGCCACCCUUGCUUCCCACGAGGGGGGAAGGUGUGCCCCGCCGUCUAAGGCGG